Molecule: ribosomal RNA, 208 nt
Filed under: uncultured bacterium
Lineage: Bacteria
Description: partial 16S ribosomal RNA
Rfam family: Bacterial small subunit ribosomal RNA
Source: RNAcentral
CGCGUAGGCGGAAACGAUAGUCAGACGUGAAAUCCCUGGGCUUAACCUAGGAAGCGCGUAUGAUACUGAGUUUCUAGAGAUCGGGAGAGGGAAGCGGAAUUCCUAGUGUAGAGGUGAAAUUCGUAGAUAUUAGGAAGAACACCUGAGGCGAAGGCGGCUUUCUGGACCGACACUGACGCUGAGGCGCGGAAGCGUGGGGAAGCAAACA